This 59-nucleotide small RNA is filed under the name Salmonella enterica subsp. enterica serovar Typhimurium str. SL1344. Its description in RNAcentral is "STnc1210". Lineage: Bacteria; Pseudomonadati; Pseudomonadota; Gammaproteobacteria; Enterobacterales; Enterobacteriaceae. The record is from RNAcentral. RNAcentral also lists the same sequence under 1 other name.
CACUGACCUCGUCGCCAUUGGACGGCGGUAAGUUGGAAUUAUCCGCGAGGUCAGUCCAA